This is a non-coding RNA of Burkholderia cenocepacia J2315, 172 nucleotides long. NCBI's taxonomy places the organism in Bacteria, Pseudomonadati, Pseudomonadota, Betaproteobacteria, Burkholderiales, Burkholderiaceae. The record is from Rfam.
AUGAGGGCGACCGAAUGUGGAGAGGAAGCGUGGAGCGUAAAUCGUGAGCCGAUGGACAAGAACUGCAUAGAAGGCGCUGCCGUGCAGGGCGAGCGGGCAACGCACCGCGAAGCUCUCGUGACCAAGGCGAAGCAGCGUAAAUGCGGCGGUUGUGCGAUGAAGGAGUGCGCUC